RNAcentral lists this ribosomal RNA (2961 nucleotides) under Triticum aestivum (bread wheat). RNAcentral describes it as "partial small subunit ribosomal RNA". Lineage: Eukaryota; Viridiplantae; Streptophyta; Magnoliopsida; Poales; Poaceae. The record is from RNAcentral.
AUGGGCAAGGAUGACGACGUCUCCCGCGCCGUCGUGGAGGACGACACCGCGCUCCUCCUCGCGGCGGUGGACAGCAUCAAGAAGGCGGCGCUGGGUCGGCUGCGCAACGGCUCCGACGCCGCCAGGAUCCUCGACCAGGAGAUGUCCAACAGGCUCCUCCACCUCGCCUGCAGGCACGACGUCGCCGAGUGCGCCAGGCUCCUCCUCGACGGUGAGUACGGGAUCACGCCGGCCUCCGUCGACGCCAGGGACCAGCUCACGCGUACACCGCUCCACGUCGCCGCCGAGGGGCACUCCAAGAGGUGCCUCCAGCUGCUCCUCUCCAGGAACGCCCGGACGGACGUCAGGCUGCUCGACGGCACACGCCUAGUCGCGCUCGAGGUCGCGCUCAUGAGCAGAAGGGUUCAAGUUGAUUGGUCACCGGACAACUCGGUCGAGGAUCUUCUGGUUUAUCUGCAACAAAAGGAUCUGAACGCGGUGAGGCUUCUGGCAGAGAAGACCAGGGAGGUUGGGGAGGUGGCUUACAGAUACGCCAUGGAGGGGCGUGUCGCUGCACUUGCAAUGCUGCUCCUGGUGGCUGAGGAAAGGAUAUCGGCGAUGGUGAGCGUGGUGAUUGAUGGCGUCAGGACCAAGAGAUCAAUUUACAACUCUGUUGUGGAUGAGGUUCUGUCGAUUGGAGAGGCUUCAGCUAGAGACGGCAAUGAAAUGAGGAGGAAAGCCUUGCUCUGUGAGAUUCAGCUGCUUAACCAAUUUGGGGCCACGUCGUGGAGGGACCAAAAAGUUGACAGGAGAAGCUUGCCCCCUCUACUUAGGGCUGCAAAGGCCGGAGAUAUGAAUGUCACAAAGAUGCUUCUGAUGGGGGAUGUUGAUGUCAAUGAAACCGACCCCAAAGGAAACACGGCACUUCACUCUUUCCUCAGUAGUAGCUCAAGCACACAGGAGCCAAGGAUUGAGUGGCUCCUGCUGAAGAAUGGUGCCAGAGUUUUCCAGGGGAACAAACUAGGUCUCACACCAGUGCACAGUACUGCAGCUAAGGAUAAUUACAAGGCUCUUCAGUCACUUCUGCUUCAUGCACAAGAUUGCGUUGAUAUACCUUCCAAGACCAAAGAAACCCCAUUAUUCCUUGCAGCGAAAAAUGGUUCUUUGAGCUGUGUACGACUUCUUUUGCGUUAUGGGGCUAACCCCAAAGCCCAGAACCUACGAAAGCAAAGACCAAUAGACGUGGCGACAUCCCAGGACAUGCGGUUUCUUCUCAACUCCGCAAAUGUUGUACCAAUGAACCAUGGCUCAAUGGAAAAGAACCAUGCAAUGAAAAAAGAAAGGCACAAAGAGCUUCUGGAUGAUGAUUUCGAUGAUUAUGACAACGACGAUUAUUAUGAAAGCUAUGUUGUGCCAAAGGCGUCAGUAGGUCACGGGGAUUUUCGUUCCAGCAAUUUAUCUGCCCAAGGGGCUAAAAGUAAGAGCCACAGUGCCCCGAAAGAAGGUCCCAAAUUAUCUCAGCAUAAUGAUCAUUGGGAGAAGCAUGACUACACUCGCAAAAUCUUUGUUGGGGGUCUCCCGCUUACGGUAGACGAUGUGUACCUUAGCAGAUUCUUCAGUACUGAAUUCGGACCUGUGGAGGAAGCAAUGGUUAUUACUUUAAAAAUAGACAACAGAUACGCCAUGGAGGGUCAUGUCGCUACACUCGCAAUGCUCCUGGUGGCUGAGGACAGGAUAUCGGCGACGGUGAUAGACGGCGUCAGGACAAAGAGAUCAAUUUACAACUCUGUUGUGGAUGAGGUCCUGUCGAUUGGAGAGGCUUCAGCUAGAAAUGGCAAUGAAAUGAGGAAAGUCUUGCUCUGUGAGAUUCAGCUGCUUAACCAAUUUGGGGCCACGUCGUGGAGGGACCGAAAAGUUGACAGGAGAAGCUUGCCCCCUCUACUUUGGGGUGCAAAGGCCGGAGAUAUGAAUGUCACAAAGAUGCUUCUGAUGGGGGAUGUUGAUGUCAAUGAAACCGACCCGGAAGGAAAGACAGCACUUCACUGCUGCCUCAGUAGUAGCUCAAGCACACAAGAGCCAAGGACUGAGUGGCUCCUGCCGAAGAAUGGAGCCAGAGUUUUCCAGGGGAACAAACUAGGUCUCACACCAGUGCACAGCGAUGCAGCUAAGAUCAAUUACAAGGCUGUUCAGAGUUCAAGUGAGGAGGCCGGUUGGACGAACGAGAUGAGUAAAGACAACGACGUCCCCCGCACCGUCGUGGAGGACGACACCGGCCUUCUCCUCUGGGCAGGGGACAUCUCCAGGAAGUUGGCCUCUUCCUUGACCUACUCCGGACUGGCAGUAAUUUUUCUGCUACUUCUGCUACUGUCUUUCUCGCAAGCAUCUGCGACAUGUGACAGGGAAGGUGCUUGGAAAAUAGCAGUGAAUUGUCUCGACACCAGCCAACCGUCUUCACCAACGACUACCGGCGAGCUGCCGCCGCCUCCACCAGAAGCAGGUCUCGAGGCUCCACCUCCACCGGCAGCAAAUCUUGAGGUGCCACCGCCGCCGCCUCCAGCCGGGGCCGCCAUCCCCCCGCCUUCACCAGCGACUAUGGUCGAGUCGCCGGCGCCUCCAGCAGGAGCCGCCGUGGUGGUGCCAGCGCAUCCAGCCGGGACAGCGGCGGUGCUGCCGUCGCCUGAAGCCGGGGUUAUCGCGUCGGGGGACACCAAAGAGGACCGCAUCUACAAGUGGCUUUUCGUUGGUUUAUUGCUCGCCCUCCUAUUCUCUCUUCUGUUAGCACUGGUUAUUAUGAUAGGAGGGCCGUGCACAUUCCGGCUGCGCAUCUCUCUAAUAUGUUGUUUGUGCUCACUGGAACGAAGCUCCCCAAGCUCUGCUGUGCCUGUAAUCCCCGGGGACGUCGAGCAAUCGGGCCGCGAGCCGGGGCAGCGGCUGAACGGAGCGGUGCCGAGCUGGAAGAGCAGCUGCACGACAGACGCGUGA